GAAAUAAUCACUCGUGCCAUUCU
Molecule: non-coding RNA, 23 nt
Filed under: Arabidopsis thaliana (thale cress)
Lineage: Eukaryota; Viridiplantae; Streptophyta; Magnoliopsida; Brassicales; Brassicaceae
Source: RNAcentral